This 1377-nucleotide ribosomal RNA is filed under the name uncultured bacterium. RNAcentral's name for it is "bacterial SSU rRNA". It matches the Rfam family "Bacterial small subunit ribosomal RNA". The record is from RNAcentral.
AGAGUUUGAUCCUGGCUCAGAGUGAACGCUGGCGGCGUGCCUAAUACAUGCAAGUCGAACGGACAAGUAAGAGCUUGCUCUUAUGAGUUAGUGGCGCACGGGUGAGUAAUGUAUAGUUAAUCUGCCCUACACUGGAGGACAACAGUUAGAAAUGACUGCUAAUACUCCAUACUCCUUCUUAACACAAGUUAAGUCGGGAAAGUUUUUUCGGUGUAGGAUGAGACUAUAUUGUAUCAGCUAGUUGGUGAGGUAAUGGCUCACCAAGGCUAUGACGCAUAACUGGUCUGAGAGGAUGAUCAGUCACACUGGAACUGAGACACGGUCCAGACUCCUACGGGAGGCAGCAGUAGGGAAUAUUGCUCAAUGGGGGAAACCCUGAAGCAGCAACGCCGCGUGGAGGAUGACACUUUUCGGAGCGUAAACUCCUUUUGUUAGGGAAGAACAAUGACGGUACCUAACGAAUAAGCACCGGCUAACUCCGUGCCAGCAGCCGCGGUAAUACGGAGGGUGCAAGCGUUACUCGGAAUCACUGGGCGUAAAGGACGCGUAGGCGGAUUAUCAAGUCUUUUGUGAAAUCUAAUGGCUCAACCAUUAAACUGCUUGAGAAACUGAUAAUCUAGAGUGAGGGAGAGGCAGAUGGAAUUGGUGGUGUAGGGGUAAAAUCCGUAGAGAUCACCAGGAAUACCCAUUGCGAGGGCGAUCUGCUGGAACUUAACUGACGCUAAUGCGUGAAAGCGUGGGGAGCAAACAGGAUUAGAUACCCUGGUAGUCCACGCCCUAAACGAUGUAUACUAGUUGUUGCUGUGCUAGUCAUGGCAGUAAUGCACCUAACGGAUUAAGUAUACCGCCUGGGGAGUACGGUCGCAAGAUUAAAACUCAAAGGAAUAGACGGGGACCCGCACAAGCGGUGGAGCAUGUGGUUUAAUUCGAAGAUACGCGAAGAACCUUACCUGGGCUUGAUAUCCUAAGAACCUUGUAGAGAUACGAGGGUGCUAGCUUGCUAGAACUUAGUGACAGGUGCUGCACGGCUGUCGUCAGCUCGUGUCGUGAGAUGUUCGGUUAAGUCCGGCAACGAGCGCAACUCACGUAUUUAGUUGCUAACAGUUCGGCUGAGCACUCUAAAUAUACUGCCUUCGUAAGGAGGAGGAAGGUGUGGACGACGUCAAGUCAUCAUGGCCCUUAUGCCCAGGGCGACACACGUGCUACAAUGGCAUAUACAAUGAGACGCAAUAUCGCGAGAUGGAGCAAAUCUAUAAAAUAUGUCCCAGUUCGGAUUGUUCUCUGCAACUCGAGAGCAUGAAGCCGGAAUCGCUAGUAAUCGUAGAUCAGCCAUGCUACGGUGAAUACGUUCCCGGGUCUUGUACACACCGCCCGUCA